RNAcentral lists this ribosomal RNA (253 nucleotides) under uncultured bacterium. Its description in RNAcentral is "partial 16S ribosomal RNA". It matches the Rfam family "Bacterial small subunit ribosomal RNA", at positions 524 to 776 of the family's 1533-position model. The record is from RNAcentral.
UACGUAGGGUCCGAGCGUUGUCCGGAAUUACUGGGCGUAAAGAGCUCGUAGGUGGUUUGUCGCGUUGUUCGUGAAAACUCACAGCUUAACUGUGGGCGUGCGGGCGAUACGGGCAGACUUGAGUACUGCAGGGGAGACUGGAAUUCCUGGUGUAGCGGUGGAAUGCGCAGAUAUCAGGAGGAACACCGGUGGCGAAGGCGGGUCUCUGGGCAGUAACUGACGUGGAGGAGCGAAAGCGUGGGGAGCGAACAGG